AGAGUUUGAUCCUGGCUCAGGAUGAACGCUAGCGGCGCGCUUAAUGCAUGCAAGUCGAGCGAUGAGGCUCUUUUCGGAGAGUACAUCAGCGGCAGACGGGUGAGUAACACGUAGCUAACCUACCCUUAAGAUGGGGAUAACCAUGGGAAACGAUGGCUAAUACCCAAUGACCUCGCAGUUCUGGGAUGAGCAGUGAGGAAAGGUUCCGGCGCUUAAGGAAGGGGCUGCGGCCCAUCAGCUAGUUGGUGAGGUAACGGCUCACCAAGGCGAUGACGGGUAGGGGGUGUGAGAGCAUGGCCCCCCACAAUGGGACUGCGACACGGCCCAUACUCCUACGGGAGGCAGCAGCAGGGAAUAUUGCGCAAUGGACGCAAGUCUGACGCAGCGACGCCGCGUGGGUGAUGAAGGCCUUCGGGUUGUAAAGCCCUUUUAGGGGGGAAGAGACAGGACGGUACCCCCAGAAUCAGCGUCGGCUAACUACGUGCCAGCAGCCGCGGUAAGACGUAGGACGCAAGCGUUAUCCGGAUUUAUUGGGCGUAAAGGGCCUGUAGGUGGUUAGUUAAGUCGGAUGUAAAAUCCCCGUGCUCAACGCGGGGCGGCCAUUCGAUACUGACUGACUUGAGUAUGGCAGAGGAGAAUGGAACUCUCGGAGUA
Molecule: ribosomal RNA, 654 nt
Filed under: uncultured bacterium
Lineage: Bacteria
Description: bacterial SSU rRNA
Rfam family: Bacterial small subunit ribosomal RNA
Source: RNAcentral